Molecule: ribosomal RNA, 471 nt
Filed under: uncultured organism
Description: partial 16S ribosomal RNA
Rfam family: Bacterial small subunit ribosomal RNA
Source: RNAcentral
ACUCCUGCGGGAGGCAGCAGUGGGGAAUUUUGGACAAUGGGCGAAAGCCUGAUCCAGCAAUGCCGCGUGUGUGAAGAAGGCCUUCGGGUUGUAAAGCACUUUUGUCCGGAAAGAAAUCCUUGGCUCUAAUACAGUCGGGGGAUGACGGUACCGGAAGAAUAAGCACCGGCUAACUACGUGCCAGCAGCCGCGGUAAUACGUAGGGUGCGAGCGUUAAUCGGAAUUACUGGGCGUAAAGCGUGCGCAGGCGGUUUGCUAAGACCGAUGUGAAAUCCCCGGGCUCAACCUGGGAACUGCAUUGGUGACUGGCAGGCUAGAGUAUGGCAGAGGGGGGUAGAAUUCCACGUGUAGCAGUGAAAUGCGUAGAGAUGUGGAGGAAUACCGAUGGCGAAGGCAGCCCCCUGGGCCAAUACUGACGCUCAUGCACGAAAGCGUGGGGAGCAAACAGGAUUAGAUACCCCUGUAGUCCCA